UACAGAGGUCCCGAGCGUUGUUCGGAUUCACUGGGCGUAAAGGGUGCGUAGGUGGCAUGGUAAGUUUGAUGUGAAAGCUCAGGGCUUAACCCUGAAAUGGCAUUGAAUACUACUGUGCUGGAGGUUUGGAGGGGGGACUGGAAUUCUUGGUGUAGCAGUGAAAUGCGUAGAUAUCAAGAGGAACACCAGUGGCGAAGGCGAGUCCCUGGACAACACCUGACACUGAGGCACGAAAGCUAGGGAAGCAAACAGG
Molecule: ribosomal RNA, 253 nt
Filed under: uncultured bacterium
Lineage: Bacteria
Description: partial 16S ribosomal RNA
Rfam family: Bacterial small subunit ribosomal RNA
Source: RNAcentral